RNAcentral lists this ribosomal RNA (511 nucleotides) under uncultured bacterium. Its description in RNAcentral is "partial 16S ribosomal RNA". It matches the Rfam family "Bacterial small subunit ribosomal RNA", at positions 28 to 523 of the family's 1533-position model. The record is from RNAcentral.
GACAAACGCUGGCGGCGUGCCUAAUACAUGCAAGUAGAACGCUGAAGGAGGAGCUUACUUCUCUGGAUGAGUUGCGAACGGGUGAGUAACGCGUAGGUAACCUGCCUGGUAGCGGGGGAUAACUAUUGGAAACGAUAGCUAAUACCGCAUAAGAGUAGAUGUUGCAUGACAUUUACUUAAAAGGUGCAAUUGCACCACUACCAGAUGGACCUGCGUUGUAUUAGCUAGUUGGUGGGGUAACGGCUUACCAAGGCGACGAUACAUAGCCGACCUGAGAGGGUGAUCGGCCACACUGGGACUGAGACACGGCCCAGACUUCUACGGGAGGCAGCAGUAGGGAAUCUUCGGCAAUGGACGGAAGUCUGACCGAGCAACGCCGCGUGAGUGAAGAAGGUUUUCGGAUCGUAAAGCUCUGUUGUAAGAGAAGAACGAGUGUGAGAGUGGAAAGUUCACACUGUGACGGUAUCUUACCAGAAAGGGACGGCUAACUACGUGCCAGCAGCAGCCGCAG